CAGUUAACUGCGCGUCAUAGUGUGAACUGCAGGACACAUUUGAACAUCGACAUUUCGAACGCACAUUGCGGUCCGUGGAGACACAUCCAGGACCACUCCUGUCUGAGGGCCGGCUGUAUAAAAACAUAUACCAC
This 134-nucleotide ribosomal RNA is filed under the name Zygaena haematina. RNAcentral's name for it is "partial 5.8S ribosomal RNA". The stretch from base 1 to 112 matches the Rfam family "5.8S ribosomal RNA", at positions 46 to 154 of the family's 154-position model. Rfam says of the family: 5.8S ribosomal RNA (5.8S rRNA) is a component of the large subunit of the eukaryotic ribosome. It is transcribed by RNA polymerase I as part of the 45S precursor that also contains 18S and 28S rRNA. Functionally, it is thought that 5.8S rRNA may be involved in ribosome translocation. The record is from RNAcentral. Lineage: Eukaryota; Metazoa; Arthropoda; Insecta; Lepidoptera; Zygaenidae.